AGAUCAACCAGCAGCAAGAAAAGCUGGUUAUGCCUCUGAGCAGUGAGGAGUGAGAUAGAGGGAGGUGCAAGCCCUGCAUGGCUGGUUAUAUGUUCUCUGAUGGUAACAGUAUGGACUGAUCCUCUCCCAUUUGUCAUAAGAAUGGAGGUGAUUUCCUGUUUAUAUGUGUAAUCAAGGCCUUCUUCUCAUUCUGUCCCCUCUGAAUCUCUGCAGUUUGCAAAAAGAAAACCAACCCCUCCAUACAGAUUUAGAGGAAACACUUGAAACAGGAAAUUCUGGCACUUGGAUUGGGCAUUGAGAGAAGGUCAGAUACAAAGGGGAUGCAGUGGGGUGGAGAGUAAAUCAUUGUUUAUUGGCAUUUGACAUUCUGAAGAGCAGUGAAAAUGGUCAGCAUAAGCUACACCAGUGAGGGAGUUUCACAAAGAUGAGUGAGCAGCGUUACUGCCAGAGCAAUGCCCUGUGCCAACACCAAACAGGCCUUGCCAAUGGCAGGACUUGGCACUUCACACCUGAAGUCCUUUUUUCUGGCAUAUGCUGAUGCUGCUGGUGAAUCACACAGCGAUUCACAGAGCGGAUUUUCCCCCAUCAGAUAAAAUUUUGAACUGUUGAUUUAUGCACACACCCCUCUCUGGGAAGGUGAUGUCUCUAUCCUGCUGCCAACCAGUGCCUUCUAUGGUGAGUAUUAACAGUUUCUUGUUUGUGUCUUGAUGUGGAGGGGAAGAAGCAGGGAGACAGGAGAGUGAGAGCUCAGAGGAUGCAGGGAUGGGAUCCCAGGCUAGGGAGGCAAAGAGUAGGAGAAGACACACACUAUAAAUCUGGAGCCUAAGUUUAGGGUGCACAGUGGAAAGAAAGGCUGUGAUGCUGAGGUGCCCUGCUUGGGAAGGGAAUGAUGAAAUCUUUCUGUGUAACCCAACUAACCCAAAAGCCACUUUUAACACUUGAUCUACAUUGCAAACACAGAAAAAUGUUAC
RNAcentral lists this long non-coding RNA (971 nucleotides) under Cyanistes caeruleus (blue tit). Its description in RNAcentral is "lncRNA (ENSCCEG00000020178.1)". Lineage: Eukaryota; Metazoa; Chordata; Aves; Passeriformes; Paridae. The record is from RNAcentral.